Molecule: unclassified non-coding RNA, 19 nt
Filed under: Mus musculus (house mouse)
Lineage: Eukaryota; Metazoa; Chordata; Mammalia; Rodentia; Muridae
Description: oocyte_clustered_small_RNA13181
Source: RNAcentral
UGAGCACCCUCUUCUGUAU